Triticum aestivum (bread wheat) is the source of this 142-nucleotide non-coding RNA. The record is from Rfam. NCBI's taxonomy places the organism in Eukaryota, Viridiplantae, Streptophyta, Magnoliopsida, Poales, Poaceae.
UAUGUACUCCUUCCGUCCAAAAAAGCUUGUCCCUCAAAUGGAUGUAUCUUGCACUAUCCCUCAAAUGGAUGUAUCUUGCACUAACUUGGUGCUAGAUACAUCCAUUUGAGGGACAAGCUUUUUCGGACAGAGGGAGUAUCUC